Molecule: non-coding RNA, 71 nt
Organism: Phrynosoma platyrhinos (Desert horned lizard)
Lineage: Eukaryota; Metazoa; Chordata; Lepidosauria; Squamata; Phrynosomatidae
Source: the annotation of a GenBank genome assembly
GCCAGCAUGGCAUAGUGGUUUGGGUGCUAGACUACAACUCUGAAGACCAGGGUUCGAUUCCCCACUUGGCC